This 3656-nucleotide unclassified non-coding RNA is filed under the name Hevea brasiliensis (rubber tree). Lineage: Eukaryota; Viridiplantae; Streptophyta; Magnoliopsida; Malpighiales; Euphorbiaceae. The record is from RNAcentral.
UCAAUCCUGAACCCAACUCCUUUCAUCUCUGCUCGUAAAAGCUACUGUGGCACUCUACUUUCAUCUCUCCCCCUAGAGUGGUAGUCUCCAACAAGAAUUCAACCAUUUUGCUCGCCAAAUUCAGUAAUGUUCGCUCUCUCAGCAUUGAGGUACCGCUUCAACUCCCUAACUAAAACCCUAACCGUUGUAAACCAAUCCCUCAAUCACCAUACCCAGUCUUCCAUUCUAGUUCCAAUUUUCAUUCUAUGUUCGCAUUUUUCCUCAAAGCAGCAAAGUAAUGACAGAAAUGAGGACAAGAACGAUGUUGUAUCGCUCUUCAACAGAGACCCAACCAGCCCCCCUCGGCUUUUCGUGGUCCAGCCUCGCCUCCGCCCCGAUACUUUCCUUCAAGCCAAGCUCAACGAGGCUCUCUGCCUCGCCAAUUCCCUCGAGGAACAGCGUGAGGGCUACUUUGAGACUGAUUUCUUCGACAAGGCGUUGCCUCCUCAUAUAGUCGUUCAAAACCCAAUACUCCGUUCCUCCAGAGCUCGCGCAGACACAUAUUUUGGUCCAGGGACAGUGGAAACCAUCAAAUGCCAUCUAUAUGCAUCGGAGUCCAAGGGUGAAGUGGAUGCUGUGUUUGUAAAUUCUAUUCUGAGUGGGAUUCAACAGCGAAAUUUGGAGCGUGCAUGGGGCAAACCUGUGUUGGACCGUGUUGGCCUUAUAAUAGAGAUUUUUAAUGCUCAUGCCCAUACGAAGGAGGCAAAGCUACAGUCUGAAUUGGCUGCGCUCAUGUAUAAGAAAAGUAGGCUUGUUCGCGUACGAGGCCCUGAUGGACGCUAUACAUUUGGGACAACUGGAGAAGCUGAAGUUGUUAGUGCCCGAGGGAGGGGAAGUGGAGGACGUGGCUUUAUUAGUGGUGCUGGAGAAACGGAACUCCAAUUGCAACGGCGAAGAAUAUUAGAAAGACGCAACCAUUUGUUAUCCCAAAUUGAAGAGGUACGUCGAACUCGAGCUUUACAACGUACUGCUCGCAAGAGGCAUGGUGGAUCACAUAAUAAAGGUUUAGCCACUGUUGCUGUUGUAGGGUACACAAACGCUGUAAGUGAUCAAAAUUUUAUCAAAGUUGCUCAUUUGCUGCUGCAAUAAUAAAAUACACAAUCUCUUGCACAAUUAUCUGUUUAUUUUCAAUUCGCAGGGAAAGUCUACAUUGGUCAGUGCCCUCUCAGAGGGUGAUCUUUAUAGUGAUUCUCGGUAUCUCUAUCCUCUUAAGCAACUGAUUUAGAUUUGGAAUUCCUAUUUAAAGCAGCUUUGAUAUUGAGAUUUAUCCUUUUCGCCUUAGUGCUUACUUGGAGUUCCUGUUCCUGCAGAUUGUUUGCAACACUGGAUCCAAGACUGAAAAGCGUUAUUCUUCCUUCAGGGUGAGAUUGUCAGUUUAAUUAUUUAUUUUAAUUUACCUAUGUUCCCUGUCAUGUUUUGGGACUUGAAUAAUUAAAGUUUUCUUGAAUGAAACAUAUUGUGGAAAUAUCACUUUUGCUCAGUUGAUCUGAUUUAACUAUAAUAUUCAGGAGGAAAGUGCUUCUUAGUGAUACCGUAGGAUUUAUAUCAGAUUUGCCUGUGCAGGUAACCGACAAACUGACAAGUAUGUGCAGUUGCUUUCUUUAUUUUUUUUUUAACCCAUAUGAUAACUCUUCUUUACCAUUUCUAUUUACUUUAAUAGUUAGUGGAAGCAUUUCAUGCAACCCUAGAAGAAGUAGUGGAAGCAGACCUUCUUGUGCAUGUGAUAGACUGCACUGCUCCUAAUCUCGAUGAACAUCGCACAACAGUGUUGCAAGUUCUUCAGCGAAUGGGAGUGUCAGAAGAGAAACUCCAGAAUAUGAUUGAAGUCUGGAAUAAGAUUGAUUAUGAAGAGGGAGACAUGGGUGAUGAUGAACCCUUAGAUGAUGGUGAUGAAGAUGAUAUUGCAUCUGAGUUAUCAUUAGGACUAGAAGAUGACAAGGCCAAUAGUUCUUUAGCAGUGGAAUGUAGUGAAGGGGAUUUUGAAGAGACGAUAGAUAACAUUCAAGACAAUUACUCCGAUGGCUGGCUGUUGUCAGGAGAUGACCAAGAGAACGUGGGUGACCAUUGGUUGAAGAGUCUGGAUGAUCAACGAGGUGAGACCUUAUAUAACUCGGGGACAGAAACAAAGUUGCAAUCUCAAGCUGGUCCCCAUGUCAAAAUAUCUGCUAUAACAGGAGUUGGCUUGCAAGAAUUGCUGGAACUCGUUGAUGAAAGGCUAAAGACUCAGGAUGAGACACUAAAGGCCCAGAAUGUAGUGGAAAGGGGUUUCUUUGAUAGAAAAUGGAGGCCUUCACGUGCAGAUGAUGCUGGCAUGGCAGUUGAACAGUAACAAACAUAUAUGGUCUGGUUAUCUUUGUUAUUGUUUCAGAUAUGUAAGCUAGAUGAAAAGUAUGAUGGAAUGAGUGUUGGUCUACUUCAGAGACUUGUCUCCUAGUGCUUAAACAUUUGUUCUGAUGAAGCAUGCAACUGUAUAGGAGAGAAAUAUGUCCUUGAAGGGACAUAGAAUUGUUGAUGCGUAUGAAGUUGAAAAGGCUACAGGGACGAAGGUUGCUGCAUUCAAGAUGAUGAUGCAGCCAAUCAUUCUGAGGAAGAAACAUAAGAGCACUGAUAUUUGUGGUGGAAGAAAAGGAUGAUGAUUGUUGUUGUAGGUGAAUGUAGUGUUCCUACCACUUUUGAGAUGAGUAUCUAUCUCAACAGUCAACACUUGAGUAUCUCAAUAAUCUGGAGAUUUCUGAUUCUUUCUCCCUGUUGUUUCAAUUUUCAAGCGCCAUAAGCUAGUCAGCCUAAAUUGGUAACUCGGGGAAUGUGGGAGGAAUGAUGUGGUUAUCUUUUUUGUGUUGGGAAGGAUAAAGUAAGAAUUUUGAACUCCAAAGUUUGCUAGCUAUGAAUUUUCCCUUGAGCAUUAUUGAGGUAUAUAGUUAUGGAUUUCUGGAAUCAGCUCAAAUUGCACGAUUCAUCAAAACUAACUCUUCCAAAUACUAGGUCAAAAUCAAAGAUCUUACAUGCUUGGUUUUGAUCAAAAGAUGAGUGUGCUUGUUGUGUCGACUCCCUACUAUUGGCUGCUCUGUUGUGGCAUCUAAUCCUCUCUCACUGCUACUGUGGUUAUCGUAGCUGAUGCUUUGCUCUCAUUGGUUUUUAGCUUUCAAUUUGUCAUGAAAAUUUUUAAAUAGGUUUGUGAAUUUAUUGAAUUAGUUUAUAAAUUUAUGGUUUGUAAUUUUGUUGAUUUAGUUUAUCGAUUUUAAUGAUUUUAUUUUUCUGAUUUUGUCAUGCGUCUUGAUAAAAUUGAAGGUAAUGAUUAAUGAAUGAGAGGAACUACUUAACUAAAGAUUGAGUGAGGGCUGGGAGAGUUUGUCUCUACCUCCCCGCCUCUGGGCGGGACUGCAAAUAGUCUCUAGGUUGUGUUGUUUUGUUUCCAAAUCAAGGAUGGAUUGGAGAGGAGCAUUUGUGGAUCUACUUUGGACUUGCUGGACAGGACUAGUCAUGUAGCUUGUGCUUGUUUGGUUGGAGUCGUCUUGCAAGUGAAAUGCAAUGGCUGUGUGGAUUUCAAAUUUGGUUCUGAUAAAUGUCUAAUAUUGCAUAUAAGGGGAACAAAGUCUGUAAUUUGGUAUGGUUAAUGU